GCUUCCCAAAGUGCAAGCUGCCGGUCUUGAUGAGGAGGUCAAGCUGUGGCCCUGAGAUUUUAGCCCCUCUCACAGGAGCGUUGCUACUGGAAGCGAACAUGAGGUUGGGUGAACAAACCUGAGACCCAGGGUGGCAAGUACAACCCAACUAGGCCCAACAUGGAGGUUCCGUCUCCCACACCAG
RNAcentral lists this long non-coding RNA (184 nucleotides) under Fukomys damarensis (Damara mole-rat). RNAcentral describes it as "lncRNA (ENSFDAG00000026034.1)". The record is from RNAcentral. Lineage: Eukaryota; Metazoa; Chordata; Mammalia; Rodentia; Bathyergidae.